Molecule: long non-coding RNA, 253 nt
Organism: Cloeon dipterum
Lineage: Eukaryota; Metazoa; Arthropoda; Insecta; Ephemeroptera; Baetidae
Exons: 3
Source: RefSeq, a predicted model, not a curated record
AAAUUCUCAAGAAUUUCCUAAUUUCCGAGAGUUUAGCCCCUCCGGCCGCUGUUUUGGCUCACGAUGGCCACCAACGAGGAUAAUUCGUGGAGGACGCCAGCCUUCCGCCAAAGCGUCGUCGCCAAAAUGGAUAAAGCAAUCCGGCUCUCAGGAAUGCCGACCACCAGGAACAGCAUCGAAAUGGAGUCGCACGUCUUCCAGAAGGUUAAAAACAAGGAGGAAUAUUUGGGCUGUAUGGCUAGACUUAUUCUGC